GGGGAUAUAGCUCAGUUGGUAGAGUGCUUGCCUAGCAUGCAAAAAGGCCCUGGGUUCAAUCCCCAGCACCACCA
This 74-nucleotide transfer RNA is filed under the name Ictidomys tridecemlineatus (thirteen-lined ground squirrel). Its description in RNAcentral is "Spermophilus tridecemlineatus (thirteen-lined ground squirrel) tRNA". It matches the Rfam family "tRNA". From Rfam's summary of the family: Transfer RNA (tRNA) molecules are approximately 80 nucleotides in length. Their secondary structure includes four short double-helical elements and three loops (D, anti-codon, and T loops). Further hydrogen bonds mediate the characteristic L-shaped molecular structure. tRNAs have two regions of fundamental functional importance: the anti-codon, which is responsible for specific mRNA codon recognition, and the 3' end, to which the tRNAs corresponding amino acid is attached (by aminoacyl-tRNA synthetases). tRNAs cope with the degeneracy of the genetic code in two manners: having more than one tRNA (with a specific anti-codon) for a particular amino acid; and 'wobble' base-pairing, i.e. permitting non-standard base-pairing at the 3rd anti-codon position. Lineage: Eukaryota; Metazoa; Chordata; Mammalia; Rodentia; Sciuridae. The record is from Rfam by way of RNAcentral.